RNAcentral lists this long non-coding RNA (278 nucleotides) under Jatropha curcas. Its description in RNAcentral is "long non-coding RNA (JCUR_LNC001217)". The record is from RNAcentral. Lineage: Eukaryota; Viridiplantae; Streptophyta; Magnoliopsida; Malpighiales; Euphorbiaceae.
CUUUACCUUUUAUUUACAUUUUAAGCCUUGAGUCCACAUUGAGGACAAUGUGUGGAGUAAGUGUGGGGAGGGGAAUGUGACCAUCUUUGCUGAAAUUUUUAAUUUUACUGCCAUGUGUUGUUCUUAGUACUUGCUUAUGUUUAUGCUGCUGCCAUGUGCAUAUUUGGUAUGAAACUUGACCGGUUUUGACUGUUUUGUAAAAAUGCUCCUAGAGUUUUUAUUUACCACUUAUCCCAUGAAUAUUUUGAGUAAAAUUUUUUAUUUUUGAGCUGAAUUUG